ACGGGUGAGUAACACGUGGGAACGUACCCUUUGGUUCGGAAUAACGCUGGGAAACUAGCGCUAAUACCGGAUACGCCCUUUUGGGGAAAGGCUUGCUGCCGAAGGAUCGGCCCGCGUCUGAUUAGCUAGUUGGUGGGGUAACGGCCUACCAAGGCGACGAUCAGUAGCUGGUCUGAGAGGAUGAUCAGCCACACUGGGACUGAGACACGGCCCAGACUCCUACGGGAGGCAGCAGUGGGGAAUAUUGGACAAUGGGCGCAAGCCUGAUCCAGCCAUGCCGCGUGAGUGAUGAAGGCCUUAGGGUUGUAAAGCUCUUUUGUCCGGGACGAUAAUGACGGUACCGGAAGAAUAAGCCCCGGCUAACUUCGUGCCAGCAGCCGCGGUAAUACGAAGGGGGCUAGCGUUGCUCGGAAUCACUGGGCGUAAAGGGCGCGUAGGCGGCCAUUCAAGUCGGGGGUGAAAGCCUGUGGCUCAACCACAGAAUUGCCUUCGAUACUGUUUGGCUUGAGUAUGGCAGAGGUUGGUGGAACUGCGAGUGUAGAGGUGAAAUUCGUAGA
This 557-nucleotide ribosomal RNA is filed under the name uncultured Methylobacterium sp. RNAcentral's name for it is "bacterial SSU rRNA". It matches the Rfam family "Bacterial small subunit ribosomal RNA", at positions 102 to 694 of the family's 1533-position model. Lineage: Bacteria; Pseudomonadati; Pseudomonadota; Alphaproteobacteria; Hyphomicrobiales; Methylobacteriaceae. The record is from RNAcentral.